GGGGGGGGGGGGGGGGGGGCCUGACAGAUGCGGGGCGAGCGGCCGCGGCGGAGGGAGGGGGGGACGGGGGGGUGGCCGGGGGGGACGGGCCGGGAGGGGCGGGAUAACUCAGGGAAACUUGGGCUAAGGGCGAAGGGGCCCUGCGGGGGGAAGACUUAUGGCCUUUAAGGCGGCCCGCGUCUGAUUAGCUAGUUGGGGAGGUAAAGGCUCACCAAGGCGACGAUCAGUAGCUGGUCUGAGAGGAUGAUCAGCCACAUUGGGACUGAGACACGGCCCAAACUCCUACGGGAGGCAGCAGUGGGGAAUCUUGCGCAAUGGGCGAAAGCCUGACGCAGCCAUGCCGCGUGAAUGAUGAAGGUCUUAGGAUUGUAAAAUUCCUUCACCGGGGACGAUAAUGACGGUACCCGGAGAAGAAGCCCCGGCUAACUUCGUG
Molecule: ribosomal RNA, 433 nt
Filed under: uncultured bacterium
Lineage: Bacteria
Description: partial 16S ribosomal RNA
Rfam family: Bacterial small subunit ribosomal RNA
Source: RNAcentral